Perognathus longimembris pacificus (Pacific pocket mouse) is the source of this 1405-nucleotide long non-coding RNA. RefSeq lists it as uncharacterized. NCBI's taxonomy places the organism in Eukaryota, Metazoa, Chordata, Mammalia, Rodentia, Heteromyidae. The record is from RefSeq and is a predicted model, not a curated record. The transcript is spliced from 3 exons.
UUUUGCUGGCUAACUGGAGAUAACUUCUUCCCCAAGCUGGCUAUGAACGGUAAGAUAUCGGCUUCCUGAGUGGUUAGGAUUACAUGUGUGCACCAACAGUAUCUGUCAACAUUUUCUAGUACAUUGGAAGAGGUGCAUAAACUAUGUGCCUGAAAUUCUAUUCCAAGAUAUACAUGACUAAGAAUCUUUUACACAUGUAUAGAGCAGAUAUUUAUGAGAAUCUUAACUGAAGGUGUAAUUGCAAAGCUGAUUACAAUUGUGAUUGCUAAUCUAUCAUUGUAACUACCUACAUUUCUAAAUUGUUACCUCUAGAAAUAACAGAAAUGCCUAUCAAUGGGAAACGCAUAAAUAAUGGUCUAGCCAUACGACACCACACAGGUACAGAGAUGAGUGUACAAGUUGGUAGUACAUCUACAAAAAUGGGAAGUUUGAAGAAACCUUUCAGUUAAGAGUCAGAUCUUAGCUGUGUAUUGUGUUCACACUUGUAAUCUUAUCUCCUGAAAGGAUCAUGUUUCAAGGCUAGACAGAGAAGGGGGAAAAGUUUAUGAGCUUCUAAUCUCAACCAACAAAAAGCAUGACACAGUGAUACUUAUCUGUCAUCCCAGACAGGUGGGAAAUAUAAAUACGAGAAUCUCAAUUGAGAUUGACCCAAGCAUAAAUUCAAGGCCUUUCACAAAAUGUAACAAAAGCAAAAAGGGGCAAGAUAUGGCUCAAGUGAUAGAAGAUGGCAAUCAUAAGUUUAAAUCCAAGGAAUGAAGAAAAAAAAGACUAAAAAUUAUCCUAUCUACCCACAGAAUUAUAAUCAAUGUUUACUGUAUCUCAAGCAAUUAGAAAGGACUACGAAGACCAUUCUGGUCUUCAAUGUAGGGGGGUAAAACAACCUAAGAAGCUGCUCUGUCAAGAGCCAAGAACCACAGGAGCCUCAGAGAAGUGAGUGGAGAUAAAUGCAUAAAAUAUAUGUAUGAAUAAUAUAUGCAAUCAAAUUUGAAGCUGGAUAAAAAAUGAUAGCUUGGAUUACAGUGGUGUCAGUGAGAUAAGUGUAUGGAUUAAAGAAAUAUGUGAAAGUCAUCUUGUUUGGGGAUGGACAGGAAAAUGAGAGACGAUGGAAGCAGUGUCAGAAUCCCAAUGGAGAUGUAACAGGAAAGAAGCAGCAGUGAAGAGAAGUGUAUGUGGUAGAGUUCAGCAAUCAGACUUCCAGAAGGGGAAGGGGAAGGAGCAUGGAGGAUAGAAGAAUCAGCAUCAGUAUUGAAAUAAGUAUCACCUCAAGCUGGGAUGUUAGAAGAUGGUUAACAUCUCCUCCUAUAUGCAUUUAACUUCAACAAACCAGCAGUCCUUGCCCUGGAGAGAGGUGGAGGCGAAAACAAAGGGAAUAAAACGCAACAUUCUACUUAAGAGCAAUGUGUAU